This 244-nucleotide ribosomal RNA is filed under the name uncultured bacterium. RNAcentral describes it as "partial 16S ribosomal RNA". It matches the Rfam family "Bacterial small subunit ribosomal RNA", at positions 524 to 776 of the family's 1533-position model. The record is from RNAcentral.
UACGAAGGGUGCAAGCGUUACUCGGAAUACUGGGCGUAAAGCGUGUGUAGGCGGCUACGUAAGUCGGAUGUGAAAGCCCCAGGCUCAACCUGGGAAGUGCACUCGAUACUGCGUAGCUUGAGUAUCGGAGAGUGUGGAGUAUGUGUAGAGGUGAAAUUCGUAGAUAUCGAGAGGAACACCGGUGGCGAAGGCGGCCAACUGGACGAAUACUGACGCUGAGACACGAAGCGUGGGAGCAAACAGG